Struthio camelus australis is the source of this 1668-nucleotide non-coding RNA. Lineage: Eukaryota; Metazoa; Chordata; Aves; Struthioniformes; Struthionidae. The record is from RefSeq and is a predicted model, not a curated record.
AUCACUUCCUUCCUACCCCCCACCCCCCUUUCCUCUGCCGAGGGGGAAAAUAAGUGGAUGCUGGAGCACAACGUCCCAGCCAAAGAGCUAUUUUAGUAUUGGCAUCUCCCAUGGCCGCACGGCUUUCCCCACCCACAGGACGGCAUGGUCCAGGAAGUGCCGGCAGUAGCGCUACGGUCCAGAGGAGGAGGGAGACCCAGAGAGCAGCGUGGAGAGCCUACCUCUUCAUAGUUCUGUUCUGUUUCAGAGUCAGGAAAACUCAACAUAUACUCUGCAAAGCAAGAAAAAAAGGUUAGGAUAUGCCAGGAUGCACAGCUUUUCUUUAGUCGUAACUCAAAGAGAACAAAAAUCAUCAGAAGUAUCUCUAAAAUUAGAAGCAUAAGCAAGCAACAUUAUAAAAACGUGGGAGAGGAAAUAUCUACGGAGCAGUGCAUCUCAACUAUUGGUAACAAGCACUAAGCAGUGGCCUCUUCACGUUAUUAAUAGCAUAAAAAAUAAAGUAUAUGCAGGUACCAUCAGGAAUGUCGAGGUGUCUAGAAUUCUUUUUCCUAAACAAGACGACAGACAGACUAAAAGAGAAUUCUUCUUUACUUUGGACCUCAAUCUUCCAAAGCAUGUAAAAUGCAAAUGCUCAUUAAUAUAUAUCUACCAAGUGAUUCUACUGAUAUGCAGUUAUUUGUCUCUGAUAAAUAAUUAACACUUUUCUUUACGAGUAUCAAAGAGCAAAUUAACCUAAACCGAAGAUCAGAGGCAGGGGAGAUGUACAGAGAGAGAAUAUCCUUACGGCAGACCCUACCCUGGGACACGUGACGAUCCUGUCGCACCAUAUUGCUGCGCGUUUGCUUGACUUGCCAGGAACAGGCAAAGAAGCAAGACACAAGCUCCCUACGCGCGGAGUCACUGUGCCGUGGCAAUCCUUGCAGGACGGCUCUGCCCUUCACGCCCGCUGUUGGCUCAAGAGACUCACGCAUUUGGGGAGGAUGCAAAACCUCAUGGAAAGUCUGCUUGAUUGCACCUGCGCUCCCGUUUGCAGAGCACACAAAUACCUUUAGGAGCGGUUGUUAAGCAGGCAUUUAUUUGUGCUCGGUACACGUUCGGCAUGCUACAACUGCGGGGCAUUUGGGACCUGUUCUUCCUGAUCGUGGUACCCUUCCCAUGGGGCAGGGAACUGCCUGCACUCCCAGCAGUUGUUACAAAUAUAAUGAGGUAGUAACAUAUAGCCAUCACUCCUAAGGCACAUCUCUUAAGGUAGCAACAUCACCAGAAAGACACAGUCUUCCUUUUUACUUAAUUGCUAUCAUCUUUAUAGAUGUUUCUAAUAGAGACCAUGGAUUCUAGCUUGCCGCUUCCUCUGAAACUUUGUAAUAAGCCCUGGCGUUUGAUUUUGAAGACAGUCCACCAGGUCAGUGGGAGUUUGGUUUCAGUAAGUGGCGAAUGAAAGCAGAGGGUCACAGCCUCAACCUUGCGAAUACUUACGAGCUCGCUUUGCAGCAGGACACGCGCACUUCCUCUGGUGGCGUUCCCAGUUGGCUCACAUCAAUGAUCCAACUCUUCGUGACUUUAGGAGGGCCACAAAUCAGUAGGGCGGCCCCAAUUCAAAAUUAAAUCCUGUGACAAGUGUUUCUAGGCUGGAAUAUAGCUGUCAUAAUUAAUAAAAUAAGACACCAA